GAGAUAAACUUGCAUUGAUCAAUUAUCAAUGGAGGUGUAAAAAGGGCAAAAGAUUGACAAUAAUUGUCAAUCUUUUGCCCUUUUGCCCGCUAAUCCGUUCACAGAAAUAGAUCAAUAUGAUGGAUUCUGCCUGCUGUGGUGGGCAGAUAGGAAAUUUCUGCCCACUUCCAGAACCAAUCAGAUUGCAGGAUUUGUUGAAUUCCGCCCGCUUACGAGCUGAGAAAAAAAUAAUCUGUAGCAUACCAUGGAUAGCAUUUCAUAACUAUUAAUUUUUAUAUCAUGCCAUGGAGAUACAACAUUUGGCCAACACAGUCAAUGUGAUAUACAGCACAUGAUAGGAAGGUUGGCUGUAGUACAAUCUAGUAUACAAAGGCUUUCCUGUAUUCUGAUUGGCUUUAUUUUCUUUGGCAUGGUAUAAAUACUUUCAUCAGUUUUCUAGAGACAAUUCAGUUGGACAAUUGCAAGGGAAGCAAUGCCUUUUCCAUGGUAGAUGCUAGGGGGAAAGUGUAUAAUUAUAACUCAGUUGAAAUGUUACAAGAAAUAAAGAAUCAAAAUAAAGAACCUGUUAAGCUAGGUAGAAAUGAUUCAUGAAUUUAAUUCAUGAGUUAUGUCUACCAAAGUUGACAGAUUGAACUAAAUAAAGUAGAUAUUGAUGUAUUCAGAACCAUAACAAGUUUAUAAACUGUUAAAUUAUAUACCUGCCAACUAUUUUAUGAUCACAGUUUUGAAAAAAAAGUUGUUUCAGCUUCUAUCUGGCUGUGUAGUCUAGUAAAAUAUCUUAGCUUCUCCUAGAUUGGCCCAUAUAUUUGUUAGCCCCAUUCAUGGCUAACAAGCUCGCCACAUUGUGUCUAUUUAGUUCAUAGUACAGCAGUACCUACUGGAUGAACUUUGAGGCACUGUGAGUCUUUCUAUAUAAAUCUCAAUACGCUGUCACAAGGAAUUAUCCUGGCAGCUUGCACAAGAGUACACAGUUUUUAACAAUUUAGCUUUAAAAUUCUUCACCCUCCCUCCCUUGGAGAAGGGCUUUUAUUUGCUAUUUGCCAAUAAACUGGGGUCACUCCUGGUGGUUUGAUUAAGUCUGCGUAGUGACUUGCCCCAAGCUUUGGCAUUGCUUGUGUCUUGCCAUCUUAUAUCCUGACCUUUAUCUUGUCUGAUCCAGCCUGUGCUGUGCUGGGGAGAUAAGAAAGGCUCUGCCAAUACUCUUGUUCUAUUCCCAUAUUAGUGGGGAAUAGGUGAGGCUUUUAUUUUGUGCACCCAUCAUGAAGUUGCGUCAAACCUGCCACAGGGUUGUGUCUCCCUCAAUUACAUCUGCUAUUUAUUUACUUUGUGUUUACUCUUUCUUCUCUUAAAUUAAGUUUUCUUUUUAUCCUAAAAAUGGUAUUUAAUUAAAGGGCAUAGAAUUAGUCUACAAUAUCUUUCCCUUUCCACUUUCCUUUCAUUGCAUUUUGUCUAUCACUAUUGUAUUUGAAUCUUGUAUUGGAGAAAUAAAAAAUACAAUUACAAGUUGCAAAUUUCUGUACAGAAGUUGAUUCCAUUGCAGUAGUUUGGUAUUGUGAACAUCAGCUUUGGACAGGUGGGUAAAUUUAGUUACCGUGGUUCUUCUUUUGCAGAGCAAGUGACAGCCCUUCUUUAACAUCUCAUAGUCUUUCUCUUCUGGAAGGAAUAUUUCUGAUUGGCAAAUUUAUGAUGGGAAACAAUAUGCAAUAUAUCGCUGAUUACAGAUGUGCCAUAUUGAAAACAUCAGUUAUGGUCAGAGAUGCAGUUUUGCCUGGAGGAUGGAGGAGAGCUCAUGGAGGAAUGAGGAAGGAAUGGACUCAUUCACUAAACUUUUGGUGUUUGAACCCUGCUGUGGUA
This is a long non-coding RNA of Orbicella faveolata, 1854 nucleotides long. Lineage: Eukaryota; Metazoa; Cnidaria; Anthozoa; Scleractinia; Merulinidae. The record is from RefSeq and is a predicted model, not a curated record.